This is a small nuclear RNA of Schistocerca americana (American grasshopper), 190 nucleotides long. RefSeq annotates it as U2 spliceosomal RNA. The record is from RefSeq and is a predicted model, not a curated record. The transcript has a single exon. Lineage: Eukaryota; Metazoa; Arthropoda; Insecta; Orthoptera; Acrididae.
ACAUCAUCUAUGUAUUCUCUCAUCAGGUAGGAGAAACUCUCCUUAUCAGCCUGAUAUCUGCUACGUUCUGUAUUACAGCUCUGGAAUAUUACACUAAUUUUUUGCUCACGACAGAGUGCUAUGAGCAUGCUCCAUCUCUGUCACAGGAUGCCUUCUCACUGGCGAACUCUCUUGAGGUAUCCAAACGCCU